CAACUAACCAAAAACGAAACCAGAAAUUGGUCAAAUAUCCUCAGAGUUCUUAAAAUUGAAUGAGGUCAUUGCAUUUAUUCCCUUGCUUGAUCCACAGAUAUGCUCUGAAUUUAAUAUUUUUCUUUUUGCUACUGUUUAGAAACAAUGGUUAUCUCUCAGGCAUCCCUCGGCUAGUCCAGUGCUUCCUCCAUUGUGAAGCAUUUUUACAGAAGACAGCUCCAUGGCUCCAGGACCCCUUUGAUAGACUGACUGGAUCCCCCUUCUUCCAUGAAGUGAUUGUUCUCUUCUUCCUCUGUGUCCCUCCACUUCCUUGCACAAGGUGAAAAUGUGGAAACCGCUUUAUUUGAAUUCCAUAGCAAGUCUCAGUUCAGAUGCUCCUCCACUUACCAUGGGACUUUGAGAUGGUUUGGAUAGUUUGUUCUCUCCAAACUUCAUGUUGAAACGUGAUUCCUGACGUUGGAGGUGGGCCCUGGUGAGAGGCGUUUGUGUCAUGGAGGUGGAUCCUCAUGGUACCAUCCUCUUGCCAAUGAGUAAGUUCUCCCUGUGUUUGUUAAUGUGAGAGCUGAUUGUUAAAAAGAGCCUGGCACCUCCUUCUCCUUCUCUGGCUCCCUCUCUCAUGAUGUAAUAUGCUGGCUCCCCAUUUACCUUCUGUCGUGAUUGGAAGCUUCCUGAGGCUUCACCAGGAGCAAAUGCUGGUGCCAUGCUUCCUGUACAGCCUGCAGAACCAGGAGCCAAAAUAAACCACUUUUCUUUAUAAAUUGCCCAGUGUCAAGUACUACUUUAUAGUAAUGUAAAUGGAAAAACACAGGCUCUGUCCCAAUAAACCCAUCUGAAGUUGAAAGUAUCA
Molecule: long non-coding RNA, 847 nt
Organism: Sapajus apella (tufted capuchin)
Lineage: Eukaryota; Metazoa; Chordata; Mammalia; Primates; Cebidae
Exons: 2
Source: RefSeq, a predicted model, not a curated record